RNAcentral lists this transfer RNA (85 nucleotides) under Colletotrichum cereale. Its description in RNAcentral is "tRNA-Pro". Lineage: Eukaryota; Fungi; Ascomycota; Sordariomycetes; Glomerellales; Glomerellaceae. The record is from RNAcentral.
GGCCGAUUGGUCAAGUGGUAAGAUCCUUGCUUUGGGUUCACUUGAAGUUCAGCAAGAGUCCCGCGUUCGAACCGCGGAUCGGUCC